RNAcentral lists this unclassified non-coding RNA (358 nucleotides) under soil metagenome. Its description in RNAcentral is "partial contains 5.8S ribosomal RNA, internal transcribed spacer 2, and large subunit ribosomal RNA". The stretch from base 1 to 120 matches the Rfam family "5.8S ribosomal RNA", at positions 35 to 154 of the family's 154-position model. The record is from RNAcentral.
GAUGAAGAACGUAGCGAAAUGCGAUACGUAAUGUGAAUUGCAGAAUUCAGUGAAUCAUCGAGUCUUUGAACGCACAUUGCGCCCGCUAGUAUUCUGGCGGGCAUGCCUGUCCGAGCGUCAUUUCAACCCUCGGGAGACCCUUUGCGGGGGCUGCCGGUGUUGGGGAUCGCCCGCCGCCAUGGUGGACGUCCCCUAAAACGAUUGGCGGUCUCGCUGUAGCCUCCUCUGCGCAGUAGCACUUGUUCUCGCAGGCGGAGCGCGGCGCGGCCAAGCCGUUAAACCCCCAACUUUUUUACUAGGUUGACCUCGGAUCAGGUAGGAAUACCCGCUGAACUUAAGCAUAUCAAUAAGCGGAGGA